AGCAAGGGAAAAUGAAUCUAAAUCAACUUAAACUCCAACCCCGCUCUGUGACGUCACCACUCAGCAUAUACCUCAUCGGCGUAAAAGGCCAGGGGGAGGUGUACCUCGCUAGUGACGUCACGUCACAAAGGUAUUCAUCCCACCCGGUCCACUGCGCCCUUGAGCGUGACGUCACCUCUUCCUGGGUCACUUCCCUUACCUGUUCAACUAGAAUCCUUGUUUGGGCAAAGCUACUCCCGGUGACUGGCGGCUCAUUAACAUAAUAUAUUCAUGAAAGCCGUCGCGAGUUUAUUGCGACGAGUUCGGCACCCACGCCCACAGAGCCGCUCAUUGUGGGAGGGGAGUGUUUUGUACCCCGCAAGUGGCGUCAUGUCAACUCCUGCUGCUGCGUGACGUCACGAAGUAACAGGAAGCUGCUGCUCCGCCGUGCACUGAAAUCCGAGGCCAGGCCCGCUUGAGCUGCUGUGCUGCUUUUGUUUUUAGAAGCGACCUGCCGACAUCACAAGCUGUCGCUUCCUCUGCAGAAUUUGUCUGAUGGAGCAAAGGCACUCAGCGCAGCUCGGUGCAAAAAGGCAUCAAUGCAACCGGCGUGCAAACAGCACGGAUAGUACUGAACAUUUGACACGGCACCAGAUAACUCACACAGGAGAGAAACCCUUCAAGUGCAGUGUGUGCGGGAAGGCAUUUUCACCGUCAUCUGCUCUUGUAGCACACCAGAGAACACACACGGGAAAUAAACCC
Molecule: non-coding RNA, 741 nt
Organism: Petromyzon marinus (sea lamprey)
Lineage: Eukaryota; Metazoa; Chordata; Hyperoartia; Petromyzontiformes; Petromyzontidae
Source: RefSeq, a predicted model, not a curated record